This 253-nucleotide ribosomal RNA is filed under the name uncultured bacterium. RNAcentral describes it as "partial 16S ribosomal RNA". It matches the Rfam family "Bacterial small subunit ribosomal RNA", at positions 524 to 776 of the family's 1533-position model. The record is from RNAcentral.
UACGUAGGGGGCGAGCGUUGUCCGGAAUUACUGGGCGUAAAGGGCGCGUAGGCGGCCCGUUAAGUCCGCUGUGAAAGACCGAGGCUCAACCUCGGGGUGUCAGCGGAGACUGUCGGGCUGGAGUCUCGGAGAGGGAUGCGGAAUUCCUGGUGUAGCGGUGGAAUGCGUAGAGAUCAGGAGGAUCACCGAUGGCGAAGGCAGCAUCCUGGCCGAGUACUGACGCUGAGGCGCGAAAGCGUGGGGAGCGAACGGG